UACAGAGGGUGCAAGCGUUAAUCGGAAUUACUGGGCGUAAAGGGUGCGUAGGUGGUUUGAUAAGUUAGGUGUGAAAGCCCUGGGCUUAACCUGGGAACUGCGCCUGAUACUGUUGAACUAGAGUACUGUAGAGGAAGGUGGAAUUUCCGGUGUAGCGGUGAAAUGCGUUGAUAUCGGAAGGAACGCCGGUGGCGAAAGCGACGUGCUGGCCCUCUUCUGACGCUGAGGCGCGAAAGCCAGGGGAGCGAACGGG
RNAcentral lists this ribosomal RNA (253 nucleotides) under uncultured bacterium. RNAcentral's name for it is "partial 16S ribosomal RNA". It matches the Rfam family "Bacterial small subunit ribosomal RNA", at positions 524 to 776 of the family's 1533-position model. The record is from RNAcentral.